Molecule: non-coding RNA, 52 nt
Organism: Pteropus alecto (black flying fox)
Lineage: Eukaryota; Metazoa; Chordata; Mammalia; Chiroptera; Pteropodidae
Source: Rfam
UUUUUAGUAUAAGUAUGUCCUAUGCAAUAUUUGAGACAUAGUCAUACUAAAA